GCACGGGUGAGUAACACGUGACUAACCUACCCUGGAGUGGGGGAUAACUGAGGGAAACCUUAGCUAAUACCGCAUAAUACCUAUGGGUCAAAGGAGCAAUUCGCUUUGGGAGGGGGUCGCGGCGAUUAGUUAGUUGGCGGGGUAAUGGCCCACCAAGACUGUGAUCGGUAUCCGACCUGAGAGGGCGCACGGACACACUGGAACUGAAACACGGUCCAGACUCCUACGGGAGGCAGCAGUGGGGAAUUUUGCGCAAUGGGGGAAACCCUGACGCAGCAACGCCGCGUGGAGGAUGAAGUCCUUCGGGACGUAAACUCCUUUCGAUCGGGACGAUAAUGACGGUACCGGAAGAAGAAGCCCCGGCUAACUUCGUGCCAGCAGCCGCGGUAAUACGAGGGGGGCGAGCGUUGUUCGGAAUUAUUGGGCGUAAAGGGUGCGUAGGCGGUUUUGUAAGUCUUAUGUGAAAUCUAUGGGCUCAACUCAUAGACUGCAUGAGAAACUGCAGGGCUUGAGUGUGGGAGAGGUGAGUGGAAUUUCCGGUGUAGCGGUGAAAUGCGUAGAUAUCGGAAGGAACACCUGU
This 580-nucleotide ribosomal RNA is filed under the name uncultured bacterium. Its description in RNAcentral is "bacterial SSU rRNA". It matches the Rfam family "Bacterial small subunit ribosomal RNA", at positions 100 to 713 of the family's 1533-position model. The record is from RNAcentral.